GAUUAACGCUGGCGGCAUGCCUAAUACAUGCAAGUCGAACGGAAGCAGCAAUGCUUUAGUGGCGAACGGGUGAGUAACACGUAGGGAACCUACCUAUACGACGAGGAUAACUACUGGAAACGGUAGCUAAAACUGGAUAGGAUCAAUUGAGGCAUCUUGAUUGAUUUAAAGAUCCUUCGGGAUUACGUAGAGAUGGCCCUGCGGCGCAUUAGCUAGUUGGUGAGGUAACGGCCCACCAAGGCGACGAUGCGUAGCUGAGCUGAGAGGCUAAACAGCCACACUGGGACUGAGACACGGCCCAGACUCCUACGGGAGGCAGCAGUAGGGAAUUUUCGGCAAUGGGGGAAACCCUGACCGAGCAACGCCGCGUGAAUGAUGACGG
RNAcentral lists this ribosomal RNA (382 nucleotides) under uncultured bacterium. Its description in RNAcentral is "bacterial SSU rRNA". It matches the Rfam family "Bacterial small subunit ribosomal RNA", at positions 28 to 414 of the family's 1533-position model. The record is from RNAcentral.